RNAcentral lists this unclassified non-coding RNA (1958 nucleotides) under Hevea brasiliensis (rubber tree). The record is from RNAcentral. Lineage: Eukaryota; Viridiplantae; Streptophyta; Magnoliopsida; Malpighiales; Euphorbiaceae.
AAUUUAGCAAAUAUGAUUUAAUAUUUUAGAAUUAUAAGAAGAAUUAUGAGAUUGUAAGCAUUUGUGAUGGAAUUUCUUGGCUACUUUGGGUAGCAAUGAUUUGUUUGGUAGAAGUUGGUUAUUGGAGUUUAUAAAUUUGAUGGUCUAUGGUAUUGAUAAUCAUGAUAUGCUCUUGUAUCACUAUGACAUAUAAAAUUAUAUUUAAUAUAUUUGCUCCCGUUAGAGCGGUGCCAGCAGUUCAGUUUAAUGCAAUAGUAAAGGGCUGCCCAUGGAGAGGGUGGAGCUGCCGCUACGAGAUUUGACAAAGCAUUGCUAUGAUUUUUUUAUAUCUAUUUCGAUACUACAACGUAUCUUUGAAUGCCAAGUACCAAUUAUUGAUAAUUUUUAUAUCUGUUAGGAAUACUUGGAGACUAGAAAGAAUAUAAUUUGAGUUAUUUGGAGAUUCUAGAAUUGCAUAGCAUGUUGAUUUGAUUAUUCAAUUUAUUCAGCUUGUUUUAAUUUUUUUUGUUUUUUCAUCUAUCCAUUUAGCUUAUUUCUUUUUGUUACAUGAUGUAUAUUGUAAAUGCCAACUCAUUGAGUAGCCUAUACUCAACCCACCUAACUCACCAGUUUUGCAGAGGUUAAUUGAAAAGAGAAUCUGGUUGAUGGUUUUUAGAGCUCCGAUUGGCUAGACUCCAUGGUUCUGGGGAAGCAAGGGAAGGAAAUCUGCAGUAGAGAAUAAGGGUGUGACACCUUUCAUGGGGAUGGAGGAGUUUAUUGGAGGGGCUUGAUGUGAUUAGAUCUGCGAUAAGGUGGAAUAUAGUUGGUCCUUUGUUUCUACUUAAUUGGGAGGAACCUUGGGUUCCAACUCUUCCUGGAUUCACAAUUACGUCCAAGACAAGCAAACUGUCCAACUCUGUAUAUAGCCGAUUUAAUCAUUCCAAGCAUAAACCAAUAGGACCUACCGAUGUUAUAUGCUGCUUUCACUCCGAAGGAAUGUCGAGAAAUCAUUAGAAUUCCUAUUGGUUCACAUCCCAGGGAAGCUAUUAGAGUGUGGCACUUCUCAAGAUCGGGUACUCCUACUAUUAAAGCUAUUUAUCACAGGCUGAAAUAGUUGCAAGCUGUUCCGUAACAAGCAGUAGUCCCAUCUUCAUCCAGAUUAGUGCCCAUAAAUUUCUGGAAGAAAAUAUGGAAAUUGGAGGUUCCUCCUAAGUUGCAUAUGUUUAUAUGGUGGGCUUGUAAAAAUACUUUGGCUAUAAAAGAAAAUUUGUUUAAGAGGAAAUGUGCCUUCCCCUGACUGCCCUCUUUGUCUUCAAGGACCAUAGACUUUGGAGCACUUAUUAUUUUUCUGUAGUCAUGCUAAGGCUUACUAGUUUGGUUCAAAUCUUGGUUUUUGUCCGUGGACUGAAGGUUUUGGAUCUUUUAUUGAUUGGUGGAUUUUGCCAUCUGAUAGUUUCCAAUCUCUUGAUAAUAGGGAGCUUAAGUUAGCUUACUUCAUGUGCUAGCAUAUCUAGAAAGCUUAGAACAAUGCAAUUUAUAAUGCUGCAGAGCUGGAUCCUAGACUCAUUUUCUCCAGAGCUCAGAAUAAAUUUGAAGAACUAACUUCAAUUACUAUUCCGUAAUCUUAUUCUUUAGCCAUGCCUCAUAACUCUUUUGUCAAAUGGUCUCCGCCACCUACUGGUUUGUUUAAACUGAAUGUGGAUGCUUCUUUUGAUGGAUGCUCUUCCAGUGCUACUUAUGGUUUUUUUUUUUUUUACUAGGAAAUUCUUCGGGUAUCCUUCUUGAUGGUGGGGUUAUUGUUUUUUCGCGUUUCAUCAUCUCCUGUGGUAGAGGGUCUGGGUCUAAGGGUAACAAUUAAAUUUGUGAUUAAUAGAAAUCUUGACCAGUGUUCUAUAGAGAUUGAUGCUCUGCAGAUUAAGCUCUUGAUUUCUUCCCCUCCUCACUUUAUUUUUUGUGAAGUGGAAGCAAUCAUUCAUGAA